Molecule: ribosomal RNA, 460 nt
Filed under: uncultured bacterium
Lineage: Bacteria
Description: partial 16S ribosomal RNA
Rfam family: Bacterial small subunit ribosomal RNA
Source: RNAcentral
CCUACGGGAGGCAGCAGUGAGGCAUAUUGGUCAAUGGACGAGAGUCUGAACCAGCCAAGUAGCGUGAAGGAUGACUGCCCUAUGGGUUGUAAACUUCUUUUAUAUGGGAAUAAAACAGGGUAUGCAUACCCUCUUGUAUGUACCAUAUGAAUAAGGAUCGGCUAACUCCGUGCCAGCAGCCGCGGUAAUACGGAGGAUCCGAGCGUUAUCCGGAUUUAUUGGGUUUAAAGGGAGCUUAGGUGGAUUGUUAAGUCAGUUGUGAAAGUUUGCGGCUCAACCGUAAAAUUGCAGUUGAAACUGGCAGUCGUGAGUACAGUAGAGGUGGGCGGAAUUCGUGGUGUAGCGGUGAAAUGCUUAGAUAUCACGAAGAACUCCGAUUGCGAAGGCAGCUCACUGGACUGCAACUGACACUGAUGCUCGAAAGUGUGGGUAUCAAACAGGAUUAGAUACCCGGGUAGUC